GCCCCUAUAGCUCAGUUGGUAGAGCAGGAGACUUUUAAUCUUCGGGUCCUAGGUUCGAUCCCUAGUGGGGGCACCC
This 76-nucleotide transfer RNA is filed under the name Mycobacterium phage Winky. Its description in RNAcentral is "tRNA-Lys". It matches the Rfam family "tRNA". From Rfam's summary of the family: Transfer RNA (tRNA) molecules are approximately 80 nucleotides in length. Their secondary structure includes four short double-helical elements and three loops (D, anti-codon, and T loops). The record is from RNAcentral. Lineage: Duplodnaviria; Heunggongvirae; Uroviricota; Caudoviricetes; Vilmaviridae. RNAcentral also lists the same sequence under 2 other names.